GUGGAGCAUGUGGUUUAAUUCGAAGCAACGCGAAGAACCUUACCAGGUCUUGACAUCCCCUGACAACCCAAGAGAUUGGGCGUUCCCCCUUCGGGGGGACAGGGUGACAGGUGGUGCAUGGUUGUCGUCAGCUCGUGUCGUGAGAUGUUGGGUUAAGUCCCGCAACGAGCGCAACCCUCGCCUCUAGUUGCCAGCAUUCGGUUGGGCACUCUAGAGGGACUGCCGGCGACAAGUCGGAGGAAGGUGGGGAUGACGUCAAAUCAUCAUGCCCCUUAUGACCUGGGCUACACACGUGCUACAAUGGGCGGUACAAAGGGCUGCGAACCCGCGAGGGGGAGCGAAUCCCAAAAAGCCGCUCUCAGUUCGGAUUGCAGGCUGCAACUCGCCUGCAUGAAGCCGGAAUCGCUAGUAAUCGCGGAUCAGCAUGCCGCGGUGAAUACGUUCCCGGGCCUUGUACACACCGCCCGUCACACCACGAGAGCUUGCAACACCCGAAGUCGGUGAGGUAACCCGCAAGGGAGCCAGCCGCCGAAGGUGGGG
This 540-nucleotide ribosomal RNA is filed under the name Geobacillus sp. W21. RNAcentral describes it as "bacterial SSU rRNA". It matches the Rfam family "Bacterial small subunit ribosomal RNA", at positions 932 to 1467 of the family's 1533-position model. The record is from RNAcentral. Lineage: Bacteria; Bacillati; Bacillota; Bacilli; Caryophanales; Anoxybacillaceae.